This 80-nucleotide transfer RNA is filed under the name Erinaceus europaeus (western European hedgehog). It matches the Rfam family "tRNA". From Rfam's summary of the family: Transfer RNA (tRNA) molecules are approximately 80 nucleotides in length. Their secondary structure includes four short double-helical elements and three loops (D, anti-codon, and T loops). Lineage: Eukaryota; Metazoa; Chordata; Mammalia; Eulipotyphla; Erinaceidae. The record is from Rfam by way of RNAcentral.
GGGGAAGUAGCAUAAUGGUUAUGCAAAAGAGUUUCACACUUCAGGCUCUGAAGUCCCAGGUUCAAUACCUGGUAUCACCA